CCAGGCAGGUAAUCAGCGGCACCUGGGGGUGGUCAUGUGACCCCCUGUCCAGGAACUGAGGGAGCGCUGAGUGCAGACUACCAUACACAACAGAAAUCCACAGUCACCCUGCCCACUGUACAAAAUGCAUAUUCUAUAGUUCUACUCACCGACCCCCAGCCACUCCAGUCUGUAUCCAAGCACUGGAUCGUUCGGAACGCGAGGAACUGGAAGAUAAAAAGAAAAAAAAAAUACACAAAACAAGCUCUUCAACUAUUCAUUGUGCAAUCGAAUGCCACCAGCAGCAUAGAAACAAUAUCUUACUCAGAAACCCCCAGCCUCUCCGGGUUAUAUCUUUUAUGUUCUGGUUAUGACUGCUUGCCAUGAACCCGCAGUAGAAGCAUGCAGUGCUGUGCCAGGCUCCAUGGCAAAGCUCAACGUCUGUGAAUUUCUCAUUGGCUGCAAUGGAUAGUUAAAAAGCCAGGGAGGGCUACUGAAAAAUCAGGGCUGCUGAAAUCAAAAACGGACAAAAAAAACGAACUGCUCUCACUCAGUGGCCUAUACAAGUGUACUGAAAAGGGGACAAUCUAUUUUUCAAUGUUUUUAAUUAUCUUGCUUUGCUACACAUCUCUAUGACUUGAUACAGCUUACCCUGUACUAAAUAUCAAAUACUCAUUUAAAAUGGCAUUAAAUAAAAAAUGACAAAAUACUAUUAUUCUAUU
This is a long non-coding RNA of Rana temporaria (common frog), 701 nucleotides long. RefSeq lists it as uncharacterized. The record is from RefSeq and is a predicted model, not a curated record. Lineage: Eukaryota; Metazoa; Chordata; Amphibia; Anura; Ranidae. The transcript is spliced from 3 exons.